RNAcentral lists this ribosomal RNA (429 nucleotides) under Gemmatimonadota bacterium. RNAcentral describes it as "Gemmatimonadetes bacterium partial 16S ribosomal RNA". It matches the Rfam family "Bacterial small subunit ribosomal RNA", at positions 355 to 776 of the family's 1533-position model. The record is from RNAcentral. Lineage: Bacteria; Pseudomonadati; Gemmatimonadota.
UAGGGAAUCUUCUGCAAUGGACGAAAGUCUGACCGAGCAACGCCGCGUGUGUGAAGAAGGUUUUCUGAUCGUAAAACUCUGUUGUUAGAGAAGAACAAGGACGUUAGUAACUGAACGUCCCCUGACGGUAUCUAACCAGAAAGCCACGGCUAACUACGUGCCAGCAGCCGCGGUAAUACGUAGGUGGCAAGCGUUGUCCGGAUUUAUUGGGCGUAACGCGAGCGCAGGCGGUUUCUUAAGUCUGAUGUGAAAGCCCCCGGCUCAACCGGGGAGGGUCAUUGGAAAGUGGGAGACUAGAGUGCAGAAGAGGAGAGUGGAAUUCCAUGUGUAGCGGUGAAAUGCGUAGAUAUAUGGAGGAACAGAAGUGGCGAAGGCGGCUCUCUGGUCUGUAACUGACGCUGAGGCUAGAAAGCGUGGGGAGAAAACAGG